UACGUAGGCAGCGAGCGUUGUUCGGAAUUACUGGGCGUAAAGAGUGUGUAGGUGGUGCUCUAAGUUUGGUGUGAAAUCUCCCGGCUCAACCGGGAGGGUGCAUCGAAAACUGGAGUGCUAGAGGAUGGGAGAGGCAAGCGGAAUUCCUGGUGUAGCGGUGAAAUGCGUAGAUAUCAGGAGGAACACCUGUGGUGUAGACAGCUUGCUGGACCAUUUCUGACACUGAGACACGAAAGCGUGGGGAGCAAACAGG
This 253-nucleotide ribosomal RNA is filed under the name uncultured bacterium. RNAcentral's name for it is "partial 16S ribosomal RNA". It matches the Rfam family "Bacterial small subunit ribosomal RNA", at positions 524 to 776 of the family's 1533-position model. The record is from RNAcentral.